Long non-coding RNA from Rattus rattus (black rat), 771 nucleotides. RefSeq lists it as uncharacterized. The record is from RefSeq and is a predicted model, not a curated record. The transcript is spliced from 4 exons. NCBI's taxonomy places the organism in Eukaryota, Metazoa, Chordata, Mammalia, Rodentia, Muridae.
AUGGCAACAUGAAAGGAGCCGAUCUCAUUACUGAGGCCCGGACACAUUAUUUUCUCCAAGGAAUUUCUUCUUUUCAUUAUUUCCCUCCAAAGCUUAGAGAAUUUCUUCAAGCCAGCCUUUGUCUUUAACCCCUGCGGCUCCGGCAGACAGCAGCCCAGCCACCCUUGCUAGGUUCCCGAGAUGCCUCCAGGGUCUGGGCUUUUCUCCAGCACGUGGCUCCCUGCUACCAUCCGAGAAGUCCCGGAUGCUGAGGACUUGCCCUGGAGAAUUGCCGACACACGGACAUUUAUGUCUUCCCCACGGGAAAAAACACCCCAUUAGAAGGCUGUGUGCCCUUGGGCAAGUAGCUCCCUGUUUCUGGGCUCGCUUUGCUCAUCUGUUAAGCAACUUCGUGUUGGUGUGUACCCAGGGAAUGAACAGAAAGCAUGAGCAGAGUCUGGCUGGCACCCAGGAGCAGUAAAUACCAAGGAUUGAUUAUCGUAUUUUGGCAAAAGUCUGGUUCCUCAUAGGAUCUCCAGGGAGCUGCAGCGGGCGGUACCAGAGGAAGGGCUUCUGGAAAUGGCUCCAGGGCAUCAAAUUCUGUAAGAGAGGAUCAGGGUGGACGCCCAUUCUACAGAGGGAAAACUGAGGCUCCUGACAGAACAGUGGCUUACCCCACUGGCUUCCCACUGCAUCCUUCUGCCUUAGCUUCUCACAGAGCCUGUCAUUCAGCUCACCAGAUUCUCUCUUGGGGACACAGGAGAACUGUCUGCCCCUGUGUUGUGGGUUCUC